UACGUAGGGACCAAGCGUUGUUCGGAUUUACUGGGCGUAAAGGGCGCGUAGGCGGCGUGGUAAGUCACUUGUGAAAUCUCUGAGCUUAACUCAGAACGGCCAAGUGAUACUGCUGUGCUAGAGUGCAGAAGGGGCAAUCGGAAUUCUUGGUGUAGCGGUGAAAUGCGUAGAUAUCAAGAGGUACACCUGAGGUGAAGACGGGUUGCUGGGCUGACACUGACGCUGAGGCGCGAAAGCCAGGGGAGCAAACGGG
This 253-nucleotide ribosomal RNA is filed under the name uncultured bacterium. RNAcentral describes it as "partial 16S ribosomal RNA". It matches the Rfam family "Bacterial small subunit ribosomal RNA", at positions 524 to 776 of the family's 1533-position model. The record is from RNAcentral.